CCUACGGGAGGCAGCAGUGGGGAAUAUUGCACAAUGGGGGGAACCCUGAUGCAGCAACGCCGCGUGGGUGAAGAAGUACUCCGGUAUGUAAAGCCCUGUCAGCAGGGAAGAAAAUGACGGUACCUGACCAAGAAGCCCCGGCUAACUACGUGCCAGCAGCCGCGGUAAUACGUAGGGGGCAAGCGUUAUCCGGAUUUACUGGGUGUAAAGGGAGCGUAGACGGCGAUGCAAGUCUGAAGUGAAAGGCGGGGGCCCAACCUCCGGACUGCUUUGGAAACUGUAUGGCUGGAGUGCAGGAGAGGUAAGUGGAAUUCCUAGUGUAGCGGUGAAAUGCGUAGAUAUUAGGAGGAACACCAGUGGCGAAGGCGGCUUACUGGACUGUAACUGACGUUGAGGCUCGAAAGCGUGGGGAGCAAACAGGAUUAGAUACCCCAGUAGUC
This 440-nucleotide ribosomal RNA is filed under the name uncultured bacterium. RNAcentral describes it as "partial 16S ribosomal RNA". It matches the Rfam family "Bacterial small subunit ribosomal RNA", at positions 338 to 795 of the family's 1533-position model. The record is from RNAcentral.